AGUAGUCACGUAGUUUGAUCCGUGGCUACAGAACGAACGCUGGCGGCAUGCCUAACACAUGCAAGUCGAACGAGACCUUCGGGUCUAGUGGCGCACGGGUGCGUAACACGUGGGAAUUUGCCUCGGGGUAUGGAAUAACUCAGGGAAACUUGAGCUAAUACCAUAUAAUGUCUUCGGACCAAAGAUUUAUCGCCCUGAGAUAAGCCCGCGUAGGAUUAGCUAGUUGGUGGGGUAAAGGCUCACCAAGGCGACGAUCCUUAGCUGGUCUGAGAGGAUGAUCAGCCACACUGGGACUGAGACACGGCCCAGACUCCUACGGGAGGCAGCAGUGGGGGAAUAUUGGACAAUGGGCGAAAGCCUGAUCCAGCAAUGCCGCGUGAGUGAUGAAGGCCUUCGGGUUGUAAAGCUCUUUUACUCGGGACGAUAAUGACGGUACCGAGAGAAUAAGCCCCGGCUAACUCCGUG
RNAcentral lists this ribosomal RNA (465 nucleotides) under uncultured bacterium. RNAcentral describes it as "bacterial SSU rRNA". It matches the Rfam family "Bacterial small subunit ribosomal RNA", at positions 1 to 507 of the family's 1533-position model. The record is from RNAcentral.